Molecule: non-coding RNA, 833 nt
Organism: Callorhinus ursinus (northern fur seal)
Lineage: Eukaryota; Metazoa; Chordata; Mammalia; Carnivora; Otariidae
Source: RefSeq, a predicted model, not a curated record
AUAAUGGGCCAAGGUGGCAGGUAAGGAUGCUGAUGUACCUAGGCUUCUAGAAGGCAUGUUCUCAGCUACUGCUGCAAAAAUCAGGGCAUCGAUGUGUCCAUCAGGAGACACCUGGUACAGUGGGAAAAACAAAGAACCUGGAGACUAAAACCCCCAGGCUUCCAUCCCAGCUGAAGGUCUGUGGCCACAUUACUUGAUGUCUCUGAACUUCACUCUCUUCCAGGGCUGUUUUGAGAAUUUAAAAAAAGGAGAAUCUAUUACAAGCAAAACAUGAAUCCCCAAAUCUGAAAUUUAGGACCACACUUCAUGGAGAUCGAGCCUGCAUUGUUCUUCUCAACACCAGCCAAGCCAAAACCACGAGAAAAGUUCUCAUCCAUGAUUUCUCCUCGCUUUCUCUGCCUCCGGACUAACGCCACUCCUUUCACCUAAGGCUCUGACGGUGUGCUGUGCCCCUUCCUCCUGGACACUGCACAGCACUGGGUUCUGAGGGAUGCCUUGCUAAAUGAGCUGGGCAGCAUGCUGGUCUUCAGAGACAUAGAGACGAAGGAUGCUGAAGUACCCGUGUGGGAGGACUUCACAGUCUCUUAUGGGCUCUUUGCUACAAGCCACUCCGGAGAAUGUGAGCAAUGAAAGACACGUGCUCCUGGGUUGUCUUCUUGCUUUUGAAAAGCUUCCAAUCUAGCUUGAAAGACAAAGCAGAGACAUGGGAAAAGAUUAAUACAGCAUGGGAUGUAAUAACAUGAGGACAGCCAUGAGCUGCCUUUCUGCACCUACUUCAUAUGGAUCGUGGUGAAGUUCAAACGAUCGAGAGAGAGAGCAUGAGGGGAGUGGGG